The sequence is a ribosomal RNA, 452 nucleotides long. It matches the Rfam family "Bacterial small subunit ribosomal RNA", at positions 27 to 504 of the family's 1533-position model.
GGACGAACGCUGGCGGCGUGCCUAAUACAUGCAAGUCGAGCGGGGUUCCUUCGGGAACCUAGCGGCGAACGGGUGAGUAACACGUGGGCAACCUGCCCUCAAGCCUGGGAUAACUCCGGGAAACCGGUGCUAAUACCAGAUAAUCAUUGCUCUUGCAUGAGAGCAAUGUAAAAGUUUUUCGCUUGAGGAUGGGCCCGCGGUGCAUUAGCUUGUUGGUGGGGUAAUGGCCUACCAAGGCGACGAUGCAUAGCCGACCUGAGAGGGUGACCGGCCACACUGGGACUGAGACACGGCCCAGACUCCUACGGGAGGCAGCAGUAGGGAAUUUUCCGCAAUGGGCGAAAGCCUGACGGAGCAACGCCGCGUGAGUGAUGACGGCCUUCGGGUUGUAAAACUCUGUUCUUAGGGAAGAAGUUCUGACGGUACCUAAGGAGAAAGCCCCGGCUAACUAC